RNAcentral lists this long non-coding RNA (3195 nucleotides) under Mus musculus (house mouse). RNAcentral's name for it is "long non-coding RNA chrX:143575648-143578843". The record is from RNAcentral. Lineage: Eukaryota; Metazoa; Chordata; Mammalia; Rodentia; Muridae.
GAGAAGCAAUGAACCAAUGAUCAAUAUCUCAUUCUAGUUCUCCUCCUCUAUAGCUGGGGAAUAUUAGACAAAAUUUUCCCCUUUCCAGUAGCUUCGAUUUCCUUAUCCGUCAACGAGAACAAUUCCCCCUUCCUCUAAGAGGUUGCUUUGAAUAUACAAGGAAACAGAAUGUAAGUUUGUAAAUCACAAAUUCAGGCAAAAUAGUAAUGCUUACUGUGACCAUUUCAACUACUGCCCUAAGCUCCUUACAAGUACUAUUGCCACCAAUCCUUAGAAAAACCCAGUGGUAAUAGUAUUUCCAUUUCUACGAAUAGGAAAAAUUAGUCAACAAGAUUAUUAAUUGGUUUCUUCACCAUUUCCCAGCUGGGAACAAUGUCUGAAUAAGAUUUACCAUCCCUUCCCCCAAAUUCAGUAGAUGGAGUAUCACAAUGAAUGGGAGACAAAUGCGAAUGACAAAAGGGUGUGGCACACUUAGCCUGUAUGAGAAACCUUGAGAGAACAGGGUCAGUUUGCCUCUUUCUUGUUGUGAAGGUAAACUAAAGCAACCAGCCACAGGGGAAGUAAGAAAGGAACCGAAAAUAGAAAGCCCCAUGCUGUCCUCUAUUUCCAGCAGUCACAAAUGACAGAAAUACGAAAGGAAAGAAAGAGCAGGGGAGUGAAAUGGCUGAAGUGUUGAAUCCCUGUCCAAUUUGUAGUGAGUAAAUAGAUCAUUAUUAAGCACCAUAGCAAAUGUCUGAAUCUCUGGUGCUUUAUUUCUCUCCAAGCAUGGAGCUGUAAUUACUGAUGAAUGUGCCACUGGCACCUCGGCAUGUGACAUCAUCUUGAUUCUGCAGAAUACAAAAAUCAUGAAAACUGUAAUCGGCAGAUAAAGAAUUGAGCUGAAUUUUCUUGGACUAAUAGGGUGGAUUCAUAAAAAAUUCAGAACAUUUUUGUGUGUGCUUGGCUUAUAUUUAUUAUCAAAAUUCCUUGAGUUAUUCCGUUAGCAUCACUGAAUGUCUGGGACCUGGCAAUGCAUGUACUCUACAGUACGAACACAAUGAUAUUGCAAAGAAUGCAGAUGUUCCGCCUAAAGUUAAACCUGCAAAAGUUAAACCACAUACUACUAAUAGAGUUUCCUGGAGCUUUUUUUUUCUACUUACCAUGAAGCCAGUCCAUAGUAUUGGAGGGUUAUAGAGAGUGAUGGUGUUUUAGGAACUCAUCAUCCAGUCUACAUGAGAGAGCUCAUUUUGUUUUUACAGUUUGCAAAUACUGGAUAAGAAGGUUCAGUGAGUAGCCUUGUGAGAAGCAUCACUAUUGUCACUAUGUGCUAUCUGGGUAUAUAAGAAAAUGGAUUGAUACACAAAGUUUUCUAAUUCUGUACUCAUAUAAUGGUAUAGAGGCAUCCCUUAUUCUAUUUUUUUGAAACAAUAGUUACUGUUACUGUUUUUGAGUACUUCCUUGGUGCUAUACACUUUGGAAAACACCUUGUACAUAUUAUCUUAUGGAGUAUACCCAAUAACCCAUUUAAUAGAUAUUAUUUUCUCUAUUAAAAUGUUGAGUCAGGCUCAAAGAUGUUAAAGUAACUCAUCAGGAAAGUGGCUAUGAAAAUUAGGAUUAUACAAGAGAGAUGGGAUCUUGUAUUCGAUUUUGGUUUUGUUUUAGUUUAGGAAGGCAAGCUUUCAUUGUGUUGCACAGAUAGGAUUUAAGGUCUCUCAGUCUUAUUUUCAUCUUUAUAGUUCUAGGCUUAGAGAUAUGUGUGACAUUGCUUCCAGCUAGAUUCUAGGAUUCAGUAUCUUUAUGUGUGCUUUGGAGUAUAUUUUAAACAGGGUAGAAAUACAAGGCAUAUGUAUCUUGGAAAGGCAGAUUUCAUCUCAAAGAGGGAUGGUACAAAUGAUUCUCUUUGGUCUAUAUGCAUAGAAGUGGCCAUAGAGUGAAAUACACAAGCUAUUGACACAGAUCCAGCUUGAAUAAUCCUUGGUGAGUGUAGGUUCUUGGACUUUAUUAUUAUUAUUAUUAUUAUUAUUAUUAUUAUUACUAUUACUAUUAUUAUUAUUAUUAGAUUUUUUUUCAUUUACAUUUCAAAUGCUAUCCUGAAAGUUCCCUAUACUGUCCCCCCGCCCUGCUCCCCAUCCCACCCACUCCAACUUCUUGGUCCUGGAAUUCCCCUGUACUGGGGCAUAUGAUCUUCGCAGGACCAAGGGCCUCUCCUCCCAUUGAUGGCCAACUAGGCCAUCCUCUGCUACAUAUGCAACUAGAGACACAGCUCUGGGGGGUACUGUUUAGUUCACAUUGUUAAUCCUCCUAUAGGGUCGCAGACCCCUUUAGCUCCAUGAUUACUUUCUCUAGCUCCUUCAUUAGGGGCCCUGUGUUCCAUCCAAUAGAUGACUGUGAGCAUCCACUUCUGUAUUUGCCAGGCACUGGCAUAGCCUCUCAAGAGAUAGCUAUAUCAGGGUCCCUGUCAGCAAAAUCUUGCUGGCAUAUGCAAUAGUGUCUGGGUUUGGUGGUUGUAUAUGGGAUGGAUCCCUGGGUGGGGCAGUCUCUGGAUGGUCCUUUCUUCUGUCUCAGCUCCUAAUUUUAGCCAAAAACUGGAAAGAACUCAGAUGUCCCUCAACAGAGGAAUGGAUAUAGAAAAUGUGGUACAUUUACACAAUGGAGUACUACUCAGCUAUUAAAAACAAUACAUUUAUGAAAUUCUUAGGCAAAUGGAUGGAAUUGGAGGAUAUCAUCCUGAGUGAGGUAACCCAAUCACAAAAAAAAACCCACACAUGAUAUGCACUCACUGAUAAGUGGAUAUUAGCCUAGAAACUUGAAUAUCCAAGAUACAAUUUGCAAAACACAUGAAACUCAAAAAGAAGGAAGACCAAAGUGUGGAUACUUCGUUCCUUCUUAGAAUGGGGAACAAAAUACCCAUGGAGGGAGUUACAGAGACAAGGUUCUUGGACUUCUAAGGAAGCACUAAGGGGAUAUAUAAUUUUCCAAUGUGAAAGGCUGUGCCAGGGAGAGCAACGGUCAUUUAAUCCUAACUUGUAUAGCUACUCAGAUUAGCAAUCAUCAGCUUCACCUCAUCUUUUUGCCUUGGAGGCAAAUAGAGACUUUUCCAUGUCACCCACUUCUCUGGGCUCAACACUUUCACGAAACUCUGUUCUGCAAACCCCAAAUACAAAGCUUGGCUUCUUCUUCUGUACCACCUCUAGAGGCUCUCCCAAUUCCAUGAGC